RNAcentral lists this unclassified non-coding RNA (373 nucleotides) under uncultured Alphaproteobacteria bacterium. Its description in RNAcentral is "contains 16S-23S intergenic spacer region". The record is from RNAcentral. Lineage: Bacteria; Pseudomonadati; Pseudomonadota; Alphaproteobacteria.
UCCGGCUUAUCACCGGCAGUCCCCUUAGAGUGCCCAACUGAAUGAUGGCUACUAAAGGCGAGGGUUGCGCUCGUUGCGGGACUUAACCCAACAUCUCACGACACGAGCUGACGACAGCCAUGCAGCACCUGUGUUCCGGCCAGCCGAACCGAAGGAGCUCAUCUCUGAUCUCCACACCGGACAUGUCAAAGGCUGGUAAGGUUCUGCGCGUUGCGUCGAAUUGAACCACAUGCUCCACCGCUUGUGCGGGCCCCCGUCAAUUCCUUUUAAUCUUGCGAUCGUACUUCCCAAGCGGGAUGCUUAAAGCGUUAGCUGCGCCACCGACAGGCGAACCUGCCGAUAGCUGGCAUCCAUCGUUUACGGCGUGGACUAC